UCCUCACCACCGCGCAGGCGCAGCAUCCAUGGCCGCGCCCGCGUACAUUGUUCCUCCCACCGGCGAUCUCACCGCCCCCAACGCGAGGAACAGGCCAGCGGUAGGACGGGAGGAUGUGAGGUUCAUGCCCUCGGGUAUCCUCAACAAGUUCGGUCCUCUCUCUGACGAGGUUGUCGACGGGGAGCACGUCGGCGCCGCCACCGCCACCGAGUCCAACAGCAGCCACGAGGAGGACAUCGAGCAGGACGUGGGCGCAGAGGUGCAUCCCCCUCACAGAAGUCGCAGGCGACGCCGACCGGGACGCGGACAUGCCGCAGCAGGUGGCCGUGCGUGGGGAGUUCGCCGCCUCUACCUCGUCUUCCUCUCCGUCGCGGGCGCCAUUGCCGGCCUUUUUAUUUUCGCCGUGGUGUAUUGGUACUACUCUUCACUGGCGCGCUGAUCGACGGAUCCCACCCGCUAAAGCUCCUGUCCUGACGGCCGGCAAGGAUGCCUAGAAGAUUUGCUAAUCAGACGAGCCGGGCUUGGCCGGCAAGAGGAUGCCUCCGAAAGCAGAGUGUUCUUCGGUUACAGUUGAUCAAGAUCAUGUAUAGCUUGUAGUUAGUUUUUGUGGGUAAAGAAAAUGGUCUUGUAGUUAAUCUUUUGGGGUAAAGAAACUGGUCUGGUAGAAUAUACAUUUUACAUUGGUCGUUGUGUCACCACGAAAAAACCAAAAACAGUGUACUCUACAUAUCCCUGUGUAGUGGAAGAAGGUCCUGGGAUCAAUACCUCCCUCGUAUAUGCAAUUUCUUUGUAGUUCACUCA
Molecule: long non-coding RNA, 801 nt
Organism: Triticum aestivum (bread wheat)
Lineage: Eukaryota; Viridiplantae; Streptophyta; Magnoliopsida; Poales; Poaceae
Exons: 2
Source: RefSeq, a predicted model, not a curated record